RNAcentral lists this ribosomal RNA (465 nucleotides) under uncultured bacterium. Its description in RNAcentral is "partial 16S ribosomal RNA". It matches the Rfam family "Bacterial small subunit ribosomal RNA", at positions 338 to 795 of the family's 1533-position model. The record is from RNAcentral.
UCUACGGGAGGCAGCAGUGGGGAAUAUUGCGCAAUGGGCGAAAGCCUGACGCAGCGACGCCGCGUGAGGGAUGAAGGUCUUCGGAUCGUAAACCUCUGUCAGCAGGGAAGAACGGUCACUGUGCUAAUCAGCAGUGAAUUGACGGUACCUGCAAAGGAAGCACCGGCUAACUCCGUGCCAGCAGCAGCGGUAAUACGGAGGGUGCGAGCGUUAAUCGGAAUUACUGGGCGUAAAGCGCUCGUAGGCGGUAUGGCAAGUCAAGGGUGAAAUCCCCGCGCUAAACGUGGGAACUGCCUUUGAAACUGGCAAACUGGAGUGUGUGAGAGGAUAGUGGAAUUCCAGGUGUAGGAGUGAAAUCCGUAGAUAUCUGGAGGAACAUCAGUGGCGAAGGCGACUAUCUGGCACAUAACUGACGCUGAGGAGCGAAAGCGUGGGUAGCAAACAGGAUUAGAUACCCCGGUAGUC